RNAcentral lists this ribosomal RNA (655 nucleotides) under uncultured fungus. Its description in RNAcentral is "eukaryotic LSU rRNA". It matches the Rfam family "Eukaryotic large subunit ribosomal RNA", at positions 24 to 664 of the family's 3401-position model. The record is from RNAcentral. Lineage: Eukaryota; Fungi.
CCCGCUGAACUUAAGCAUAUCAAUAAGCGGAGGAAAAGAAACUAACAAGGAUUCCCUUAGUAACUGCGAGUGAAGCGGGAAAAGCUCAAAUUUGAAAUCUGGCGGUUCUGCCGUCCGAGUUGUAAUUUAGAGAAGUGUUACCUGCGCUGGACCGUGUACAAGUCUCCUGGAAUGGAGCGUCAUAGAGGGUGAGAAUCCCGUCUUUGACACGGACUCCCAGGGCAUUGUGGUACGCUCUCAACGAGUCGAGUUGUUUGGGAAUGCAGCUCAAAAUGGGUGGUAAAUUCCAUCUAAAGCUAAAUAUUGGGGAGAGACCGAUAGCGAACAAGUACCGUGAGGGAAAGAUGAAAAGAACUUUGGAAAGAGAGUUAAACAGUACGUGAAAUUGCUGAAAGGGAAACGCUUGAAGUCAGUCGCGUCGUUCGGGAUUCAGCUUCAGCUUCUGCUGGGUGUACUUCCUGUUCGACGGGUCAGCAUCAGUUUUGGCCGGUGGAUAAAGGCUCGGGGAAUGUGGCAUCCUUGGAUGUGUUAUAGCCCUGGGUCGCAUACAUCGGCUGGGACUGAGGAACUCAGCACGCCGCAAGGCCAGGUUUCGACCAUGUUCGUGCUUAGGAUGCUGGCAUAAUGGCUUUAAUCGACCCGUCUUGAAACACGG